AAAGUACUCUCUCCGUUUCAAAAUACUCGUCUUAAAUUUAUCUAAAUAUGAAUGUAUCUAAUCAUGUUUUAGUUUUUAGAUACAUUUAUUCAUAAAUAAAUCUAAGACAAUUUUUUGAAACGGAGGGAGUAAUAU
This 135-nucleotide microRNA precursor is filed under the name Hordeum vulgare. RNAcentral describes it as "microRNA MIR1122". It matches the Rfam family "MIR1120/MIR1122 microRNA precursor family". Lineage: Eukaryota; Viridiplantae; Streptophyta; Magnoliopsida; Poales; Poaceae. The record is from RNAcentral.